AUGGCUCUCCCUGCCAGAGACGCCCCGAGCCCCUUCCCAGAAUCACACCCCCUCCCUGGCCCCGGAAGAAGUUGUGGUGCUUGCCCCGGAAGUUGUCCCGGGCAGAGUCCGGCCCAGAGCGAGGCCCUGCUGCUGCCGCUAUCGAGAGUUGCAGUUGUUCCCGGGGCUGUGGGAGGACAGAGCGCCGCGGUCUCCCCGCCCCCGGAGGCUCGGCCCGGUCCGGUCCCGUCCCGCCCCUGCCGGUUUCGCGGCCAGUCCUGGGCUCAUGGAGAAUUUCAAGUGGUUGCUAAUGUGAGAAGACAACAUGCCAUUUUGAAGUAUGACAGAAGUCCUGAUGCUGCAGCAGAGGCUAGGAAUAUUAAUGGCCAAAUCUAGAGAGUACAUGGUCUUCUAAAGAAGCCAUGGGUAGCUGCUGUAGCUGUCCAGAUAAAGAGACUGUCCCAGACAACCAUCGAAACAAGUUUAAG
Molecule: long non-coding RNA, 467 nt
Filed under: Terrapene triunguis (Three-toed box turtle)
Lineage: Eukaryota; Metazoa; Chordata; Testudines; Emydidae
Description: Terrapene carolina triunguis (Three-toed box turtle) lncRNA (ENSTMTG00000017047.1)
Source: RNAcentral